Molecule: long non-coding RNA, 2864 nt
Filed under: Homo sapiens (human)
Lineage: Eukaryota; Metazoa; Chordata; Mammalia; Primates; Hominidae
Description: HSALNT0054970
Source: RNAcentral
CUGCCAUGAUGCAAAGAAGUCCAAGCUAUCUUGCUAAAAUUAGGAGCCACACAGAACGGCCCUGGAAGAUGAAAUACCACAUACAGAGAGAGGCCACGUGAAGGAGAACCAAAGCACCCAGCCAAGAGUCAGCACCAAAACACCAAUCCAGUGAGACAAGCCAUGUUGGAGCUUCCAGCCCAGCCCAGCCACCGUCUUUAAUCAGCUGCAUGAAUAACAGCCAUCACUAUAUGUAACAAGACCACCAAUCAACCCACUGAAUCAGCUUCUACUCUACUCUCAACAUAUCCCAAAAGCCACCAUCUCCUCUUGAGGCUACAAAAAAAAUCCCGAAUUACGAAACUCAGGAUUUCAGCACUAUACAUUCAGUAAAUACACCUAAAGAAGUAUUUUUUUAUUUAUUUUUAAGGCAGAGUAUCACUAUUGUCACCCAGGCUGGAGUGCAGUGGAGCGAACUCGCCUCACUGCAAUCUCUGUCUCCCAGGCUCAAGUGAUUCUCGUGCCUCAGCCUCCUGAGCAGCUGGACCACAAGCGCACACCCCCUCGCCUGGCAAAUUUUUGUAAUUUUUGAAGAAACGGGGUUUUGUCAUGUUGCCCAGGCUUGAUCUUCAACUCCUAAGCUCAAGUGAUCCACCCACCUCAGCCUCCCAAAGUGCUGGGAUUACAGGCGUGAACCACCGUGCCCAGCCAAGAAGUAUUUAUUAAGUACCAACAUUGUGCUACUCCAGCUCGGCUUUAGACCAGUACUUCCUGAACAGUCUGACAAAUGUUCAGAUAAACAAGGCUACUGGGGUUUUCGUUUUAACCCAAGAUGUCUCAGAGACUUUUAGGACACUCAUAUGUAUUGGGACUGUCCCAAAAUUAAGUAUACAAUAUAGCUUUUCCAAAAUUGAUUUGACAACCGAAUCCUCUUCCCUUCAGAAUACCUGAAAACAUUUCACUGAACACUUGAAUUUACUCAUGCAAUAAAUACUUUUUAAGCAUCAGCUUAACUCCCACUGUUGAAUGAGGGGGAUAAGGCAGUGAUUGAGACAGACGCAGGUUCUGACUAUGGGAAGUUUGCUCCCUGGAAUGGACUUUCUCCAUAAGAGCUUUCUUCACCUCAGAUAUAACAGGAUUUGAGAGGAAGGUGAUUACAGGACUAGGCACUGCUUUAAGGGCAGGUACAUGAAAUCAACCCCAAUCAGAAUUGACCUCUAACAGGAAAAGAUAGAAGAUCAAAAUAAUGACUAGUUGAAGUUUCAGCCCUACUAGGCCAGGAAAUAAAUAUAAUUCUGUAUUUAUUUUUCACACCUCGACAAAGAAGCCAGAUUGUUAAAAGGAAUACAAGUCAGCCAUUGACAGGCUGCAGUAAGAGGCUGUGGAAACACGUUGUUGCUUACAACACCAAGAUCACAAUGGGCAAGAGAUUAUGUUCAAUUCCACUGAACUUAUCAAAUCAAACAGGAAAUUCACAGACCAUCAAAAUGGUAAAAGGAAAUCUGAAAACAAAUAAUGUAAGGAUAUUCUUGAUCAGCACAGCACCAUGCCCAUUGACUUUGAAUAUCAAGCUGUACCCUAAGGAAUCACUGAGUCAAUGUGAAAGGAAAUAAGAUGGUCUUGGGGAUCUAAAGGAUGUGUUCUCACUGGGUGAAAGCUGCUCCUGGUGCUUGGACAUCGAGAUGAAGGCAAUCACUGGAAAAGCCGAAAGGAGGAUAAAUCCUGCUAGGAGGUGACAUAGUUGUACAAACAAUCCAAAUAGUGAAUGCCAGCGAGCAUCAAUGGGCGUGGGCUGGACCUCGUAUGAUCAGUACACAUGUGAGUGCCUGUCCUGGAGCACAGCCCUAGGAAGAAUCCAGCUGUAACUGACCCAAGCAUGCCUCCACACCAAAAGAAAGGCAACACAUGCACCCACCUCCUGCUAUCGUGAUUCCAUCUUAUAAUGGCUGUGUGACUUACAGAUUGCACCAACUGAUGACCCUGUCUUCACUUGAACCUUUUGCAAAACAGAUGAUUCAACCCUGUACCUUCCUUAAAGGCAAGAACUAUGUCUUCUUCAUCUUCAUAUCUCAGCACUAGUUUACACUUGCAAUUAAAAGGCAACUCAAUGUAGAGCAGUUUAAAGCAUGGGCUCUGAAGAGUCCAAAUUCCAGUUUCUCCACUUACUUAGGUUAAGAUCUUGCAAGCAGAUGCUCUAAGUGCCUAUCGAUGUCCCUCUGACCUGAACAUUUUAGAGUGCCCCAAAGGCACUGCCAAUAUCAGAAUCUCUGCCUGAGAGUAUCUUUUAAACCUGGAUAAGCUAGUCUUCCCUUGCAGGGUGUAGAAGUCCCAGGGUUAACCACCCUUAAAAAAAAAUCUGACAGCUAUUUAUACAACAGUGUUCACAACCGCAUUAUUCAUGAUAGCCAAAAGGUGAAAACAACCGAAAUGUCCACUGAUGUUGAAUGCAUAAAGAAAAUGAAGUAUACACAUAAAAUGGAAUAUUAUUCAUCCUUAAAAAAGAAAUGAGGAGGCCAAGGUGGGUGGAUUAUAUGAGGCCAGGAGUUCAAGACCAGCAUGGCCAACAUGGCAAAACCCCAUCUUUACUAAAAAAUACAAAAAUUAGCCGGGCAUGUUGGCAUGCACCUGUAGUCCUAGCUACUUGGGAGGCUGAGGCACGAGGAUCACGUGAACCCGGGAGGCAGAGGUUGAGAGGUUGCAGCGAGCCAAGACUCUGUCACUGCACUCCCACUUGGGCAACAGAGUGAGACUCUGUCUCAGAAAAAAAAAAAAAAAAAAAGGAAAUGAAAUUCUGAUACGUGCUACAACAUGAACUUUGAAAACAUUAUGCUAAGUGAAAUAAACCAGCCACAAAAGCUCAAAUAUUGUCUGAUAUCAUUUAUAUG